GCCACCACACCCAGCUUCCCCUUUAAAUAUUGAAGCCAUCUCUCAAAAUUAUCUUUGGAGAAAGGCACAAACCCCAGACCAUUUCUUUGAUUCCGUGCUUUUUGCUUCUGGGCAUGUCCUUAACCUUGGCAAAAUAAACUUCUAAAUUGAUUGAGACCUGUCUCAGAUACUUUUUGGUUUACAAUUAUAAUCUAUGGUCCCCUAGAUCAUAAGGGCCCUUCCUAUACCCCAGGAAACUCAGUGUUACUAAUACCUAGAAAUUGCCCCUUUUCUGUCUCAUCAGCCAGCCCGUAGCCCCUGGGUGCCCACGUGGCCUCACCUGGCCCCAGUUCACCACAGCCUCUUUGGAUUCUGUGGUUUAACUCAUCAGAUGUGCCAUAUCUUGCUAAUUACAGGAGCAAGGUAAGGAACUAACCUUUACUAAGGAUGCAUUAUUGGCCAGACACUACUGACUCUUACAGUGGCCACUAAACCCUUCACAAUAAUAUCUACUCUUUAGAUAAAUGUUUUUGCCAUUUUAGAAAUUAUGUUGCGUGAAGUCGCUCGGCCAGUAGCAUUGGAAUUGGAGCCCAGACUCAAAGCUCUUAACUCAAAGCCCCCGCUCUGUUCUCCCGCGCAUGGUUGGACCCCUAGCCCUUGGCCCCCUUCCCUUGCCUUUGACCUGCCCCUCAAAGGACUGAGGAUAAUUUGUAGGAAAUCCUGUUCAAGCAAUCUAUGAUCCAGGUAAUCUGUGGUGAGUGAUGGCCAAAGCUAGAGUUGAAGAAGAACACCAGCAUGACAAAGGCAUGUGAGGAGUGGGGGCGGGGAAGCCAGGGAGGGGGCUGGCUUCUUGGUUCAGCCAAGAAGCAGCAACAACUAAAGAGGGAGACAUAGUAGGAUGAAAUGCUAAUUAGUGGCUUCCGGGAUUUUACAAAUAUCUUUAAAUUUAGUGAGUUUUUCAUAUACUUCACAUGAAAAUCGCCUCCCCACACACAGGUCGCAGAAGUUGGUGGCCAUCUGUGCCAUCUUCCCAGUGAACUUGCAGACAAAACCAACAGCACAAUGCUGAUAUGAAGAACAGAUGAAAUUUACAGAUGUUUGCACUUUUCCAUGUGUUUAUUGGCCCCCAUGGCUCUUUCCUGAGUGGCCUGACCAGCCCUCUCCCCCAGUCUCCUGGGCCCCAUAGUAGAGGGAGCAGAAGAGGGUGGGAAGGAGCCCCAGCUGGGAGGAGACAGGAAGGAAAAACCAGCCUUUGUUUGAACCUGAACCCUCGUCCCAGGCUGGCUACCAGUCCUCCUGUUCCAGCCUUCCUUUUCCAGUAUGAAUAAUCCCAGUUUCUUUCAUCUGAACUCCUGAACCUCCUUCAGCUCUUCCAGUCCACCAGCACCCUCGUGAUUCUGGGCUUAACACAGGUUCCAACUGUGCACCUGCAGAAAAGAGGUCAACCGACUCCUGAAGGUAAUCAUGUCUUCUUCCUGUUCAAAGUAAUUUUCAUUCUUACAUAUUUGCCUCAUGGUAUCUAUCAGAUAGCUCUUUCCAUAACAAUCCUACAUAAUAAAUAACCACAAAGCCUCAGUGACAUGUAAUGGUAAACAUUUCUUUUGCUCGUGUGUCUGGGGUGGUCAGCAGAGCAGCUUUGUGGGGGUGCCUCUCACUGCUAAGAGUCAGCUGGCUGUCACCGGGAUGACUCAGCUCAGCUCCUUCAGCAGGCUGACCCAGGCGUGUUCUCAUGGCAUGCUUGAAGAACAUAAGAGGGGAGUGGGCUCACGCAAGUACUAUGUGAUCCUCUGUUUGGGAGCUGUUGUUAACAUCCCAUUUGCCAAAGCCCGGAUUCGAAGGGUAAGGAAAUUGGCCAUCACUUUAGUGAGAGCAUCUAUAGAAUGACAUGGCAAAGGAUGCUGGAUACAAGGAAUGUUGCAAAUAGCACGCUCAUCCUGGUCCCGACUGGCAUUAGGUUCACUCCAUAGAGAAGAUAAACUCCUGGCCGGGUGCGGUGGCUCAUGCCUGUAAUCCCAGCACUUUGGGAGGCCAAGGCAGGCAGAUCGU
RNAcentral lists this long non-coding RNA (2025 nucleotides) under Homo sapiens (human). RNAcentral describes it as "HSALNT0327535". Lineage: Eukaryota; Metazoa; Chordata; Mammalia; Primates; Hominidae. The record is from RNAcentral.